RNAcentral lists this long non-coding RNA (472 nucleotides) under Danio rerio (zebrafish). Its description in RNAcentral is "si:ch211-210h11.7 (ENSDARG00000095692.2)". The record is from RNAcentral. Lineage: Eukaryota; Metazoa; Chordata; Actinopteri; Cypriniformes; Danionidae.
AUAGGCUAUAUUUUAUUACGUGCUGCUCUUAUGUGCUGAAACACUGAACACUUUCCUUUACUUAAGAUAUAAUAAGCAACAUCUUUAAAUAAAGGGAAUCACCUAUUAAGUGUCAUAAAGCCUAUAGGGGGGAAAAAUCAUGUUUCAGUUCUCUCCGGAGCAUUUGGGAUGAAUGUUGGACAGAUUCUGUCUAGAGGAUGUUAUAAAAAACAUUUUAUAUCGAGUUAUUAACGGAGAAUUUUAUAUAUGUGGUUUUCGUGAUGAUGUGAUGGUGUGCUUUAUCUGCAUGAUUCUCGCUGAAGUGGGCGGUUUGAGUGACGUUCGAUUCGGGGGAUGUUCUGGGGGCGGGGUUUGCGUGACGCGCUGCGAGCUACUAGCCCCACAGUGGAAACGCGACAUGAUUUCGGCCUCACUGCUCAACCUCCCGGGCGAUUGGCCCGGCCUGGCCCGAUAUAAGCCCUGGCUCGCACUG